This 72-nucleotide transfer RNA is filed under the name Ailuropoda melanoleuca (giant panda). It matches the Rfam family "tRNA". Rfam says of the family: Transfer RNA (tRNA) molecules are approximately 80 nucleotides in length. Their secondary structure includes four short double-helical elements and three loops (D, anti-codon, and T loops). The record is from Rfam by way of RNAcentral. Lineage: Eukaryota; Metazoa; Chordata; Mammalia; Carnivora; Ursidae.
GCCCGGCUGGCUCAGUUGGUAGAGUGUGCGACUCUUGAUCUUGGGGUUGUGGGUUCGAGCCCAUGUUGGGUG